UUCCCUGUCACAUUUAGUUCCUGGUGCUGAGAGAACGCGGUCUCCUACCCAAAGUCAGCUCCACGCCUACUCGUCUUCAACUAGUGCGUGAGUAAUUCACCGAGUUCUGGUGGGAAGGGAGUAGACUGGUUAGCAGAGAAAUCUCGAGUACUUCCCAAAUCUGAAGAGAAGGUACAGGAAAACCUCCGGGUUGAGCACAGACCAGAAGGAACUGGGAAGUCAUUGCUGGAAAGAAAUUAGACAUGCUUCUCCCCGCAAACUGAAGUUCCAUGAACACUCGGUUGCCACCCUACAAUUUAUUGUCAUCCCUACUUGUAACUCUAACCUAACAAUGUGUCAUCCUUACUUUUCAUGUUAUUUAUUUACAAGUGCAUUUUCAGUAUCAACCCCUUCAUUCAUUAAUCCUAAUGUGGCCUUUUCCAAUGUCUACUUACCAUUUUAAAUACUUACUAUAAUUUACAGGGCUUUCUUGAACACAUCCAAGGUAUAUUAUAUGGGGCUAGCUUAAUGGAAAGUCUUGUAUACCAAAGCAGGAAAAAAACACAUUUAAUUUAUGAUGGCUUUGAAUUUUGAUCAUAAUUUACUCAUGGAGAGCUAUUCAUACAAAGCAAUACCAUACAAUUUUUCAGAAGCAAUCAAAAAGUAAAACAAUAAA
RNAcentral lists this long non-coding RNA (655 nucleotides) under Lynx pardinus (Iberian lynx). Lineage: Eukaryota; Metazoa; Chordata; Mammalia; Carnivora; Felidae. The record is from RNAcentral.